GACUGUAUCUCAAAAAAAAAAAAAAAAAAAAGUUCACCAUUUUUUCCCAUUCUUUCUUGCAAUUUUUCCACAGUUAUUAAAUUGGAUGUGCCACACAACAUGCUCUUCAGCUGGUUGGAAAACAAAAGUAUUUUUUCAAGGCCUAGCUGAGUGUUGUGUCAUCUUCUGCAUGCACUUGUGGGCCCACAGCUGAACGGGAGGCAAAGAGAUGCAAAAAGUGAGCUGACUAGCAGGACUAAUUCCUGUACUCUAUUGUCAUGGGAUUCGCUUUCAAUCCCAUUCAGGCUUUCUCCAUAUUUACGUGCUUGUAACUCUGGCAUGACCUUUGCUCCAGUCUCUACCAGAGGGCGGCACCUGGAUUGAAGUGGAAAAGUCCUGUUUUCCAGCCAUGACCCAGGGAGCAAGCACCGACUCCUCAGGGGAACAGGAGACUUGCCAACUAGGACCCUGGGAGCCUCCAUGUUGGCAGUGCCCUGUGUCGUCUCGGGCUCACCAGCAAAUCCUCGGGGGAAAGCAGGGCUGGAGGGUGAGGACGCCCAGAAGAGUUCCUGGCUCCGAAUCCCUCUCUGAGGCUCCCAAUACAGAUGCCCAGGCCCCACACCCAGAGACUCUGAGUAUUUUUGUUUAUCGUAUGUAAAAGACUAGUGUAUUUUUGUUUAAGUCUCACAGGUAAACAAGUUCUCUCAUACUUUGUCAAGGGAAAUGUAAUCUGUGCAAUUUGGCAGUAACUAUCAGAAUUUUAAAAGCGUAUGCCCUUUGACCUAGUCAUUUCACUUCUAAGAAUUUCCCCUGCAGAGGUAUGUAUAUCUUGUAUGAAAUGAAGAGGCUAUGAAAACAGCCAAUGCCGCAGUGUUUAUAAUAGCAAAGACCGGACACAACCCACAUGUCUAAAGGUUCUGAUGUUUAAAACUGUAGUAUAUCUGUACAAUGAGCACUCCACAUCCUUUAAGAAUGAGGAAGGGCUGUGUGAACUGAAAUGGAACUAUCUCUAAGAUGUAUUAAGUUAAAAAAAUCCAAGAGUAGCACAAAGGAGGGUAUGCCCUCCUUUGUAUGAUAAAAGGUCGUAUAUCUGCCCAUCUCAAAUGAGGAACAGUGGUUGCCUCUGGGAAGGGAACUGGAUGGCUAGGAAUGCGAUAGGAAAGAGGUUUGCUUUUCAGAACAUUUUAUACCAUUUAAGUUUUGUCACAAGGGCGCCUAUAUUGACUUAAAAGAUAAAAAAUGAAAAGGAAAGGCUCUGCUCGUGAUUCUGAUGCUCACAAACAUUAAGAACCAAUGCGAAUGAGGAACUCAUGAGACCGCCCAGGAAAGAGUGAACGUGUCUCUUCAAAUAUCAAAAGCCAUUCAGCAGAGGCUGAGAACACAUGCCUGGGGUAAGCAUGGGUGCGCAUGAGCUGGGGACAGAGGUGAUUCCCAGGGACACACAACUAAACCCCAAAGACGACAGUAGCUUUUCUUUCUGGCUUUUUUUUUUUUUUUUUUUUUGAGACAAGGUUUUGUUGCCCAGUGGCGCAAUCACAGUUCACUGUCACCUUGCCCCCCUGGGAUCAGGUAUCCCUCCCACCUUAGCCUCCCAUGUUGCUGGGACCACAGGCAUGCACCACCACGCCUGGUUAAUUUUUUUUUUUUGUAGAGACGGAGUCUCGCCAUGUUGCCCAGGCUAGUCUCAAACUCCUGGACUCAAGCAAUCCUUCUGCCUCGGCCUUCCAAAGUGCUGAGAUUACAGGCGUGAGCCACUGCACCCACCCUGACAGGAGCUUUUCAUCUCUGGACUCUCAUCACCAUUUGGACUGUGAGCUGUGGUUCUAACUUUUGGAUCGGACAGGCAUCUUUCCUCAAAUCUGUCAGUUUCUCUUUCCAGGUCCCUCGCUUUGUCUUCCUUUUUGCCUCCUCGGGCCUGAGACCUUUCUCUGGGCUCCUCUACUCUGCCCCGAGCUGCCUAGUUUUGCGAAUAAUAUCACAUCCAGAUGUCAGCAGCCUGACGUCCAUGUGACAAUGCUCCCUUGGCGUCCCAGUGACAGAUUUUCCCAUGCUUCACCUUCUCUCUUUUUUUAUUUUUCUGUACACAGCUCUCAGUCAACCCCCCUGAGCUGCCUCCAACUCUUUGCUCAUGUCUGUUUCUAGCAAUCUUUUCCUCUUCUAGCACAAUCUUCCUUAACUUACCAGUUUUUUGAAUCAGAGCCUCUUAGUCUUCACAACGCUACCUUUCUGAUCUCACAGUUCAUCAAAAAGCUUUUCGCCCAUCAUGCCUGCCUCCCUUUCUUCAGGUCCAUUAGACUCCACCGUGGCCUGUGUGGGAAGCAAGUCUCUCCCAGGGCACACAUGAACAGGCUUCAUGCCCACAUCCACAGUGAACUGUGGCUUCUGCCUUCCAGAUGGGCUUACCCUAAAUUGACACAUAUUCCUAGGAUGUGGGAAAAUAUGCAAUACUUAAAUGCAAAGGCUCUGGGUUCAGACUCCCUAGGGUUAAAUUCUCCCUGUGCCAGCUAGCUGCAUGGUUAGAUUUGUGAUCUUGACAAAGUUAUCUGACGUCUCUGGGCCUCACUUUUCUCAUCUGCAAAAUAGGGAAAAGAGCAACACUUCUCCUUAGGGGUGUGGUGAGGAUAAAGAGUAGAUGUAAAUGAAGUGUUGAAUGUAGAGCCUGGCCCAUAUCAAGCUUUCAAAGAGCAAUGGCCAUUUUGUUAUUUUUAAUGCAGCUACAACUGCAGUUAUUAUCUGGCUUUGGAGCUCUCUUUUUAAAGACAGUAUUCCCUGGUGCUAAUACACCCAGGUGCUAAUACUAUUCUUUGAAGCUAAUGUAUAGAGACCAUAUCUUUUUAACAAACAUGUAUAUAUAUGAGUCAUUUCCGGCACAUUUGAUACACAUCAUCUCCUUUGGUCCUUAAAACAAGCCUAGGCCAUAAGCAGGGUAAGUGUUACCACUUUGCCAUUCCUGUUUUACAGAGGCUUAGACACAUUGAGAAGCUUUUCCAUAGUCACUUAACAAGUGAUGGGUGAAGCCAAAUCAAGCCUUUAGAUCUCCAAGCUCUUUCCAUUAAGCCAUAUAAAUCAGGGGUUGGCAAACUUUUUCUGCAAAGGGGACAGAUAGUAAAUAGCUUACGCCUUAUGGGCCACAUGCUGUGUCUGUUUCAUAUUCUGCUCCUUUUUUAUUUUUUAUUUUUUAAGAAAAAACACCCUUUAAAUAUAUAAAAACCAUUCUGAGCAACAGGCUGGUGCUAAAAACAGGUCAUGGUAACCAUUGGCUCUAGGGUUGUAGUUUACUGUUGAUAUAGAUUGUACGCUGAUAAGCCAAAAUACAAACCUAAUGAAACUGACAUACUUAAGAAACUUUACUCUUUGUUAGCAAUCAUUGCUAAUAUUUAUUGAACGGUUACUAUGUGGGAAAUGCUGUUCCAAGUGUGACAGAUGUAUUAAUUUACUUAAUCCUCACACCCACUCUAAUUUCCUAGGUACUAUUGUCAGACUUAUUUUACAGACGGGAAAAGGGAAAAGCGAGGUAUAGAGAAGGUAAGUACCUUUCCCAAGUUCACAUGGCUAUUCCGUAGCAGAGCUGUGAUUCAAAUCUAAGCGGUUUGGCACCAGAGCCUGUGCACUUAACUGCUUGCAUCUCGGUGGGGAGCACUGACUGGUUCAGCUAUUGGGAGGGAAAAAAGGGGAUGGGGAAGCCACCCGCAUAACCCCUAGCAGAUUCUGGAAUAAAUAUGCUUCAGAGCCAUCCGCCUUGAAGCUGAGGAGGCAUGGAAGCAGGCCACCUGUGUUCUGUACAGCAUCGCCAGGCUGGAAAUCUGCCAUGGCUUUCCUUCACGCCAUUACAAUAGAGGAUACAGAUGAGGCUGCAGAGGCAUGUUGAUUUGAGAAAAGCAUUUGAUUGGAUCUCAUUAAAUUUUAAUCAUAAACUGAAUUCAAAAUAAAUUGAAAACUGGUUGACAGAGCACCAACAAAGGGUGAUGAUAAAUGGUGAUGCAUCUAGAGGGGAGCUGUCUUCCAGGGGACAACUCUAAGGCAAGGACGGAUGGGAUUUAAUGAAGGUGUUCUGUCCCCAGAAGAAGACAAAUAGCGCAGCAAGGAACAGAGGAAGGGCAGGAGUGAGCAGCCUGAGUAAUUAAUAAACCGUAUUAACAGCUCCUCCAUAAUCAGGCCUUGGUGAUCACAACUGCUUGGAUUUUUUCUUAAGGUUUUUUUGAGUCAGGAAUAGGUUUGAAGAGUCCUGGAGACACACAGCAUGAAUAUUUCAGGCGGACAUUAAAAAGAAAUCUAUACAUUUACAGCUGGGAGGAUCCUGAGAUCUACUUUGGAUCAGAAACUUUCAAUUACAAGGUUCCCAAGGCCUUACUUCAUUCCCCAGAGAGUAAUCUUUUUAAUAAAUGUUCAAAAGUCAUGGAUUUAAAAAUAUAUGUAUUUAAACUCAUUAAUGUCCUUUGUUUACUGCCCAAAUGCAUGCAAACUUUCAUAACGCUGUUUUGUUGAGUGGAAGGUUGGUUUUGAGUAAACUGUUUGGCUCAGAUUCAAACUCCAGUGAACAAAUACUUCCAAGUUUACUUGCAGAAUUUCCCAAACAGAGAAGUUCUUCCACUGGGCUUGCCAGAGGACUUGAAACAGUGGUGAGCCCUGGAAGGAAGGGAACAUUUACUGGCCCUUGGACAUAACCCAGCACAGUAAGACUCACAUCAGGCUGAAGGCGGUGCAGUGUGAACCGACCUGAUUUGAGGAAGUUUGCUCUGGGACUCCUCUGAGCUACUAAAUGAGGAGGAGAAGGACUAAUGGGAACACACUGACUCCAUCACAUCAGAAGUUAUAAUAAACAUUUACAGAACAACUUCAAACCA
Macaca mulatta (Rhesus monkey) is the source of this 4823-nucleotide non-coding RNA. Lineage: Eukaryota; Metazoa; Chordata; Mammalia; Primates; Cercopithecidae. The record is from RefSeq and is a predicted model, not a curated record.